Molecule: ribosomal RNA, 309 nt
Filed under: Phocaeicola vulgatus
Lineage: Bacteria; Pseudomonadati; Bacteroidota; Bacteroidia; Bacteroidales; Bacteroidaceae
Description: Bacteroides vulgatus partial 16S ribosomal RNA
Rfam family: Bacterial small subunit ribosomal RNA
Source: RNAcentral
GGGCAGUACAGAGAGUUGCCAACCCGCGAGGGUGAGCUAAUCUCUUAAAGCUGUUCUUAGUUCGGAUUGUACUCUGCAACUCGAGUACAUGAAGUUGGAAUCGAUAGUACUCGCAAAUCAGCAUGUUGCGGUGAAUACGUUCUCGGGUCUUGUACACACCGCCCGUCACACCACGAGAGUUGGUUGCACCUGAAGUAGCAGGCCUAACCGUAAGGAGGGAUGUUCCUAAGGUGUGAUUAGCGAUUGGGGUGAAGUCGUAACAAGGUAUCCGUACGGGAACGUGCGGAUGGAUCACCUCCUUUCUAAGGA